Non-coding RNA from Meleagris gallopavo (turkey), 2538 nucleotides. The record is from RefSeq and is a predicted model, not a curated record. NCBI's taxonomy places the organism in Eukaryota, Metazoa, Chordata, Aves, Galliformes, Phasianidae.
AGUAGUAUGGCUAGAUUGUGGUUGGACUCAAUAUUUAAGGUCUUUUCCCACCUGAGUAAUUCUAUAAGCUAACUGAUGUAAUUCUGCCUCUACCUUCUCCAUAGGCUUUUUGUCAGUAAUAGCAGUUAAAUAUCACAAUAAGCAGAUAUUUAAGAUGUGUGAAUCAGUCCUCACCAGCUCCUUUUGAUCAGUGACCCUAGCUGUCUAUGUUGCAUUUAACACCCAAUCCUAGAUCCCCUGUUCUGAAAUAUUACUCGCUUGGGGGACAGGAUUAAAAUGUGGAAAGUUUUCCUCUUUGACUUCUUGCCAAAACCAUUAAAACAUUCUCUGCACUGUCACAGCUUGUGCCACCUCCCAGGGGAUUUGAUUUAGAAGUAAAUUACAUGUAAGUGUUAGAUGAAAAGAGCCUCAUUAUCUAAUUCUUCCUGCACCAGCAUUUCUUUAAAUUGCUUACAAGGGAGAGAAGACAAUUAGUCCUGUGUUCGAAAUGAGAAGUUAUAAGUAUCUGUCACUCCCAUUAACCAUGAUUAUUUUUUAAUAUGCAAAUAUGAGUGCUUUCUAGACCAGUGAGAUGUGGCAGCCAUAUCUCCACAGGACCAGAUGCCAAGUGUGUUUUGACCAACUCUGAGCGCACCCAACCACCAUGAGCUUCAGGGGCUGCUAGCUGGACCAAGGGUGUUACAGCAGUCUGCACACUGAAUCAGCAUUGCAAUAGUGGAAGAAAAAUUGGAUGCCCUUCAUCCUUUUGCAGUAGCUGCAAGUACACAAUUGCUUCCAUAGCACCAACAGGUUUCUAAACAAAUUUCAGAAACAACUUUGAGAGCUCUGCAGUCAGUUGGAGAGUUCCUCACAGAUUUGAAUUGGCUCUUCCAGGCAGACAUCAGGACAUAGAAGCUGAUGCCAAUGAUGCAUGAUUAGCAGAGACUGACCAGAAGCCCGCUUUCCUGAGUCGCUGCUGAGAAACCCCAUUCAGGCCUGCAGCGUGGUUGUCCUUUCAAGGGGACUCUCAUUUGACUCUUCCCACCAAUUCUAACUUAAAUUUGUUGAGCAAUAUUCUCUUCCCCAUGCUUACAGGUGAAAUUUUCGAGGCAGUUGGGAUGAAAGAGACAGUUGCACUAAUAAAAGUACAGUCCUCUGUUCAUAUCCGUCACAAAACUUACUACAAGUGCUCUUAACCUACUCCUUGAAUUACAUGAUUUUGUUUUUACAACACUUCAUUUGCUGCACACUCCUCCGAGAUCAGCCUACCUCAACUACCAUCAAGAUAGAGACCUCCCUGGUACCAGAGUAAUUCAGAGCAGAAGUGAAGUCAUAUUCCUUUUAGCAGAGGAGCCAAGAUGUUCCUCAGGCUCCAGAGCUCAGCUGCCUCAGCCCAGCACAGAGAUCUCCCAUUCACACAAAUCUCAGAUAUGCACUCACCAUCAAUCACCAGAGCUUAAAUGGAACUAUGGAGAGACAAUGGAUGAAGUUACUUCGUAUGAAAGUUACUUGAAAAUCCUGAAGCUUCCAAGAUUAAACAGUAAAAGCCUCAGUCAUGGCAAUUAUUCUGGAUAUCAGCACUGCUAUUGAAGUUACUACAGUUCCAAUGUUAGAUUGAUGUCAAGCGGAAAAGCAAUGUUCAGAAGUAGUUUGCAUUCCCUUUAAUGCAUCUGGUAUAACCCUUAAAUUUCCCUCCAUUCCUAUGUGAAACUCCAGAAUUAUAGACUUUUUGUUUCAACAGUGAGUUUAUUUCUUUUGUGUCUUAAGCAGUUUUUCUGGAAACAAGGCUUAUGUCACGACACCCUGAAAAAAUUCCCAAAAGCAAAGAGGUGUUAAAGAUAAAGGUCUUUUAGGCUGUGUGGAAUUAAAAAAGGCUAAAGGGAAAGCUGCAACAUUAGCCUACAAACACAAGCAGUAGAAUACUAUUUAUUCAUGUCAGCAAGUAAACAGCACUGGCUCCACCGAUGCAGUAGCAAACCUUAUCAUGUCUGCCCUAAUUCUGCCCUAUCUCAUUGCAGGCACAAGGGUUGCUUGAACAGACUGCAGGUCGUCUGCUCCUUUUAUGAAGCACACAUGGGAGUUAUGAUAACAGAGACAGGAUUUUCUUUUUUUUUUUUUUUGUAAUUUGUGAUUUGAAGCUAAGAUUUGAACAGAUGCCUCUGGAGAUGAGUAUCCAUUGUGCUAUUCCUUUGUAUGUCACGUUGGUCUCACGGGAAGAUUCAUUUUGAGUGGAAAGUCAAUCAACUUCUUAAUAAUAAUAAAUAGAUAGGACAGCCAUUUUCUGUAUCACUUUCCUUUGCCUAUCCCCUCAGCUGAGAAUCCUGCAUCCAUUUCCCUCCCUUACUAUUUCAUUGCCUGGAUAAAGGUAACUGGGAGGAGACGCUGUUCUCCAUCCCACAGAUUCAGACCUUAACUUGACUCCUGUAUUUUACUGUUGGCAAAGCUGGGCCAGUUCUGCACACAGUUGGGUGCAUUUUGUAGUUCAUACCAUUCAUCUAUGGGAAUGUGUCAAAUGUGCAUGUCAGGCUGCUUCAAAUAAAUGAGCAAUGCAGUAUUGGA